This 901-nucleotide ribosomal RNA is filed under the name Fusarium desmazieri. RNAcentral's name for it is "partial large subunit ribosomal RNA". It matches the Rfam family "Eukaryotic large subunit ribosomal RNA", at positions 38 to 965 of the family's 3401-position model. Lineage: Eukaryota; Fungi; Ascomycota; Sordariomycetes; Hypocreales; Nectriaceae. The record is from RNAcentral.
GCAUAUCAAUAAGCGGAGGAAAAGAAACCAACAGGGAUUGCCCUUAGUUAACGGCGAAGUGAAGCGGCAACAGCUCAAAUUUGAAAUCUGGCUCUCGGGCCCGAGUUGUAAUUUGUAGAGGAUGCUUUUGGUGAGGUGCCUUCCGAGUUCCCUGGAACGGGACGCCAUAGAGGGUGAGAGCCCCGUCUGGUUGGACACCGACCCUCUGUAAAGCUCCUUCGACGAGUCGAGUAGUUUGGGAAUGCUGCUCUAAAUGGGAGGUAUAUGUCUUCUAAAGCUAAAUAUUGGCCAGAGACCGAUAGCGCACAAGUAGAGUGAUCGAAAGAUGAAAAGCACUUUGAAAAGAGAGUUAAAAAGUACGUGAAAUUGUUGAAAGGGAAGCGCUUGUGACCAGACUUGGGCUUGGUUGAUCAUCCAGGGUUCUCCCUGGUGCACUCUUCCAGCCCAGGCCAGCAUCAGUUUGCCGUGGGGGAUAAAGGCGUCGGGAAUGUGGCUCCCUCCGGGGAGUGUUAUAGCCCGUCGUGUAAUACCCUGGGGCAGACUGAGGUUCGCGCAUCUGCAAGGAUGCUGGCGUAAUGGUCAUCAGCGACCCGUCUUGAAACACGGACCAAGGAGUCGUCUUCGUAUGCGAGUGUUCGGGUGUCAAACCCCUACGCGUAAUGAAAGUGAACGCAGGUGAGAGCUUCGGCGCAUCAUCGACCGAUCCUGAUGUUCUCGGAUGGAUUUGAGUAAGAGCAUACGGGGCCGGACCCGAAAGAAGGUGAACUAUGCCUGUAUAGGGUGAAGCCAGAGGAAACUUCUGGUGGAGGCUCGCAGCGGUUCUGACGUGCAAAUCGAUCGUCAAAUAUGGGCAUGGGGGCGAAAGACUAAUCGAACCUUCUAGUAGCUGGUUUCCGCCGAU